This 39-nucleotide transfer RNA is filed under the name Monosporozyma servazzii. Its description in RNAcentral is "Kazachstania servazzii partial transfer RNA". The record is from RNAcentral. Lineage: Eukaryota; Fungi; Ascomycota; Saccharomycetes; Saccharomycetales; Saccharomycetaceae.
GGGAGUUUGGCCGAGUGGUUUAAGGCGUCAGAUUAAGGU